AUUGAACGCUGGCGGCAUGCCUUACACAUGCAAGUCGAACGGCAGCACGGGAGCAAUCCUGGUGGCGAGUGGCGAACGGGUGAGUAAUAUAUCGGAACGUGCCCAGUCGUGGGGGAUAACGCAGCGAAAGCUGUGCUAAUACCGCAUACGAUCUAUGGAUGAAAGCGGGGGAUCGCAAGACCUCGCGCGAUUGGAGCGGCCGAUAUCAGAUUAGCUAGUUGGUGAGGUAAAGGCUCACCAAGGCGACGAUCUGUAGCUGGUCUGAGAGGACGAGCAGCCACACUGGAACUGAGACACGGUCCAGACUCCUACGGGAGGCAGCAGUGGGGAAUUUUGGACAAUGGGCGAAAGCCUGAGCCAGCAAUGCCGCGUGCAGGAUGAAGGCCUUCGGGUUGUAAACGGCUUUUGUACGGAACGAAACGGUGAGCUCUAAUACAGUUUGCUAAUGACGGUACCGUAAGAAUAAGCACCGGCUAACUACGUGCCAGCAGCCGCAGUAA
RNAcentral lists this ribosomal RNA (500 nucleotides) under uncultured bacterium. Its description in RNAcentral is "partial 16S ribosomal RNA". It matches the Rfam family "Bacterial small subunit ribosomal RNA", at positions 30 to 523 of the family's 1533-position model. The record is from RNAcentral.